CGGCCGAGAAAUGUGGGGAAGUCCCUUCUGUGCCAAGCUUGCCUUGUGACUGAAACUCCCUAUACUUAACUUCCUAAAUGGCAACCUUGCUCCUUGAUCUAUAAAUGGAGGGGAGGAUCCUCAGCAGCAUCCUCAGCACCCAACACAGAUGAUAAAUGCGGGCGUGGGACCCUGAAGUUGGUCCUUCGAGCAGUCCUCCAAGC
Molecule: unclassified non-coding RNA, 203 nt
Filed under: Hevea brasiliensis (rubber tree)
Lineage: Eukaryota; Viridiplantae; Streptophyta; Magnoliopsida; Malpighiales; Euphorbiaceae
Source: RNAcentral